UGGGGAAUAUUGGACAAUGGAGGAAACUCUGAUCCAGCAAUGCCGCGUGAGUGAAGAAGGCUUUCGGGUUGUAAAACUCUUUCAGUAGGGAAGAUAAUGACGGUACCUACAGAAGAAGCCCCGGCAAACUUCGUGCCAGCAGCCGCGGUAAGACGAAGGGGGCUAGCGUUGUUCGGAAUUACUGGGCGUAAAGGGUGCGUAGGCGGCCAUUCAAGUUAGACGUGAAAGCCCAGGGCUUAACCCUGGAAUUGCGUUUAAUACUGUUUGGCUAGAGUUCGAUAGAGGGAAGUAGAAUUCCUAGUGUAGAGGUGAAAUUCGUAGAUAUUAGGAAGAAUACCAGAGGCGAAGGCGGCUUCCUGGAUCGAUACUGACGCUGAGGCACGAAAGCGUGGGGAGCAAACAGG
RNAcentral lists this ribosomal RNA (404 nucleotides) under uncultured bacterium. Its description in RNAcentral is "bacterial SSU rRNA". It matches the Rfam family "Bacterial small subunit ribosomal RNA", at positions 355 to 776 of the family's 1533-position model. The record is from RNAcentral.